This 74-nucleotide transfer RNA is filed under the name Haematococcus lacustris. Its description in RNAcentral is "Haematococcus pluvialis tRNA". It matches the Rfam family "tRNA". Rfam says of the family: Transfer RNA (tRNA) molecules are approximately 80 nucleotides in length. Lineage: Eukaryota; Viridiplantae; Chlorophyta; Chlorophyceae; Chlamydomonadales; Haematococcaceae. The record is from Rfam by way of RNAcentral.
GCCCUGUUAGCUCAGUUGGUUAGAGCACUGUGCUAAUAAAGCAGGGGUCACAGGUUCGAUCCCUGUACGGGGCA